AGUUACAGACAGCUGCGAAAGUAUAUCGCUUGAACCGAGCGACUGCAGUCAAAUGAACUUAUUUCGAAUCAUCUAGAAUAACUUGGUUGACUUGCUCGUGUUUAGCUUAAUACAUGUAAUAGGAAUGGUAACAUACUACUGAAUGGCGUGCCUCAACCAAAGCCAAAUUUACAUCGCAUUUUGUUUGAGCCAGCGCCGUCGAGAGCCAGCAAUCUGUGGCCACAGGAUGGUGACUUUUUUAGGUCCCCUUCAUUAAUCAUGAACUGCACAUAUUAACAUGAAAUAUAUAUAUAUCGUAUGUUUACAAUUUGAUUUCAAUAUCGACAGUCCAUUUAAUAUUAUGUAGUGACAGCAAAUAUCAGGAAAAAGUGCACGCAGUUAGGAUCGUGAGCGGUCAGCAAAUGAUGAAAGGUAAUAGCAUAUGUUGGUUUAUUUAGUAGGAGAUAUCACACUAUUGAGAAGGAUCGAGUGGGGAGGGAACCGGAGAAAACCCAGACACCCAGCCCUGUGGACAGGGGUCACAUAGUGUCUCGAGACGAGAUUUGAACCCGGAUAGCGCCGCUUACAGUGAAGGCAAUAAUCGUGUGUUUUAACUACUCCACUACCGGGCAGGAUCGAAUUUGUCGCUCCAUUUAUAUGGGAGUAAUUCACAGAGAGAUGGAGUCCUGUCGGCAAAUGGACGUCAAUACUCGACAGAUUAGAGAAACGAAGAAUACAAGAGCUGCACAACGUUUAUUUCCUAUACAUUACAUUGCAUGUGUAAAUGUAAUAAAGGUGGCUUUUGGCAGUACGCACAAUACAGUAAAAUGGUGUCGGGAGUUACGAAAAUACAGCACUGGCCCCUGGACCAAAAUGUACAUACCGUAUACGGUGUACAUAUAUCUAUCAAACUUACAUCAGCGGGGCUCUUUGGGCUUUCAAUUUUUGAUAUGCGAAAGGUCAGAUCACGCUAUUUAAAAGGAUUGUAAAGGCAAAACAAAACUGCUUAGAAUCUCGUAAAGAGUAUGAUCAGUUUGAAUCUCGUCUGUUUUCGCGUUUGCUCGUGUGGUAAAAGUUGAAUGUUUUAUAGGAUGUUGUGUUAAAUAUGAGAAAUUACACGGGACUCUCGUUUCCUUCAACGAAGUCCCAUCCUCCGAUGACACCAACUCGAUCCCAGUGUCAGCUGAUGCUAUGAUAUGGUUGGACGUUACUUAUAGCCAUCUUGAUUGUUAUCACUAAUAUAUAUAUCACUAAUCCAACUAACAACACAGCACCGAUCACAAUUGAGUUCAAAUCCUAACAUGACCGACACUUCCUGUCCCUCGCUGACGUCACAGCACGCCACAGCCUCAUCACCGCCGUCACAGCCUUUACUACACUUUUAAGUCGACUGUUCUGGCUAGCCGAUCUUGACUCGUCUUUAACUGCAUAGACGAACGCCCCACUUUAGCUGGGGUAACCGGCAUAAUGCAAAAGAUUUAAUGAUGACUCUCAGGGCUGCCGAUAGCCACCAUGGGCCUCGAGGCAGAAGAGUGAGACGACUUUUACGCGUCCUUUGGACUAAACUGACAGUAAAUAGCUUUUUCCAGUUACAGUUGUAGUCGUAUGGUUACGUCAAUUGCUUUUAUCUACAUUUGCUAACAAUAUAUCAACAGUGAACUGAGCAAGAAGGCAAGUGCACACAAGACAGGCUCAAUGUUACACUAUCCAUUGCAGAUAUUUCUCGCUCGGCCUAAAUAAAAUUCCAACAGAAAAAAAAAGCACGAAAAAAAUUUUUUUUUAAAGCUGCAUAUGGUGCCUUCACUCUCUUACCGUUAAUAACUCGAACUUUUACACUAAUUAAGGUUCAAAUCUUUCACAACCUCCUGGAGUGUUCAAAGCACUCAACUUCAUAUAUCUCGACUAAUAUCGGUCUUACUCAACAUAACUGCUGUGUUGGUGGGCGGCGGAGAUGACCGAAUGGUGCUAGUAAAUUGAACUGAUAUGUUUACUAUAUCAUCCCUGGUCUCGGCUGACCCGUGGUUGUUACAAACCGAUAAAUUAUCCCUUCGUUCAUCGGAGGCCGAUGAUUGACUAAAAAUAAAGGUAAAAAUGAGAGAGUUUAUUGUCGGUGGUGAUGGCUGAUCAAGGUUGCAGGCGAAAUACGGUGUUGGCAGGUCUUGCGUUGCUCUCGUCUUCAGAUGCAGGAGACCAUUGCUGUUACAUUAACUGACGUCGGGCCUGCCAAUGAUGCUAUCCCAGAGCUCACGCUGGGCCACUACCCUAGCAUGAAAAUCUUUCUAUAUCUUAGGACACCUGCAAUGAGGACGCCGAGUUCUUCGCAGAACUUGUCUUUUAUAUAUGUGGGUUGAGGUCUGCAGUUUCACUAGUUGCAGUCUAGUUGUUUUGAAGGAACUUAUUGACUGUUUUCAGCUAGAAGUUGUACGUAUCUUUGCAAUAUCUAUACUCCAUAGAUUGAUUACGGCAUUGCUUUCUGUGAGAAAGUGGCCAUUGGUAUACGAUGACUGCAUGAGGUCUUGUGUUGAUCUGUCUUUGUAGGUCAUUAGUGGUUGGUAUACUCCUUUGCUGUCGCUCUAUGCCAUUCCCUCCUCAAUGGUCCUGCACUGGCUUUCGAUCCAGCUCUCCCUUGCUGACUUCAUCCAUUUCUUGAUGUCACAAGUCAAUUUAUGGUUGGGAAGAUGUUUUAUGUUUGCUUUUCCUUUCUCUUUUUAAGGUCCUACUUGGGGUUUGGCCUUGUUGAUCGUGUAUUUGAAGCUUCUAUGGGGACUAAGAUGAAGUUGAUUUACUUAUGAACUAAUCCAUCUGGUGAGUGCCAAGUGGCUGUUCUCGAUUUCAUGCAGGGAUGUUGGCUAAGUAAGUGUGAUUGUGUAUUGUGUGUAUGUGUCUGUAAAUGCUUAUAUGAUAUUUAAUGAUGUUUAAUAAGAUGUCUCACAAGAACCCAGCAGCUAUAGAAAUGUGACAGCAGAGGACAUCAUUUUACAGUGAUUACUGCCCAGGAAGGAACAGAAGGUUGGACAUGUCUGUUUGUGUUUGCCUUCCAUUACUUUUAAUUCUUCUAAUUACUAACCCUUCUAUUCCCCGCCCUUCCUUGUUGGACCACCACCUUGCCAUGAGCAGUGGAGAUGGGGCUCGCAUGUCUUCAUAAUCCUGAGAACUGUGCCGAUGGGAGCAUUGGUCUUGUUAGGGUCACCCAUGUUGGAAAGAUCAAGGGGUAGAAGAGUGGUUCACUGGUCUUCCUGAUUAAUGCACUAAGAAUUCAUUGAGAAUAAAGACAACCCAAGCAUACUAGCUGUGGAUGUAGCUAGAGUUGACCACUUGGGACAAAAGCUAAAAAGGUGGGUGAAGGUAGGGGUUGGAGGGAUUAGGGGAUGGAGGAAUAGGCGGUGGAAUGGCUGGGGGAACAAGGAGAAGGAGCUAUGUACAUGUCUAGAUAGAAGAAUAUAUACAUCCAUCAUACAGGUACGUGCGAUUUUCUGUUUAAUAUAUGUGAGUGAAAAUUAUAAUUUAUAGAUACUUGCAGAUGUCUUAGAUUUUCUCUGUAUAUAUAUAUACAAAGUUUUUUUUAGCAGAGCUAUCUCUUGUCAUUAACAUUGUUUUGUGAUAUAUAGUUGUUACACGAGAAUAAUUAAAAUUAUCUGUCAGAAGCAUGAUGGUUGAUCUUUACACAUUUACAAAUACCAGGGCUUGGAUUUAAAAAAAAAAACAAUGCUAAGUGUUAAUAUGCUAUAAAUCAGUGGUCCUCAAAGUGUGGGCAGCAGGCAUGUCAGGUGGUCCGUGGCUGAUAUCAUAUGUCAGCAAAGUGAUGUUUAAAUCACCAGAUAUGUUAAUUAGUCCAGUGUUGAUUUCACAUCAGUGUUAAUUGUCUCCAUGUCCAACUGCUCGUUCACAUGACAGGCUGGCUGACCCACUAGGUCUUGACGUCACAGCGCGAGCUUUGCAACAAAUGCGGCAAUUUAAAUUUGAAAUUCACGGUACAUAGUGACCUUAAUUAGGCCUUGGUGGUCCACCGUUUUUGUUUUUUUUUUGCUUUAGUAAACUGGUCUGCAAUCCGAAAUACUUUGAGAACUACUGCUAUAAAUGACUAAGUGAUAAGAUAAAAAUAUAAGGUCACUGAGAUAAAAAUUGUUUGUAAUUUAAAGUGUGACUCUGUGGACUAGUGUUAUUUAUUAAACUGUUGCUUUAUGCCUUUGAAAUGUAGGUGUCUAUAAAGUGGAGAAGGCCAGUCUCUUUGCAUGAUUGAUUCUUCAGUGUGUCAACAAAGGUAUCCUACAGAAUGGAAUAAAAUAUGGUUUUCAUGUGUGUGAAACAGUCCAUGCCACAUAGGAGUAUCAAUGAAGAGAUUUCACGCUGAGACAUGUCAGCAGGACAAGUUCAUUGCCAUGAAAAUGCAAGUGGCCAGGACGUGCAAUCCACAUGAAAGGUAAUAAAGAGAGACAUGGUAAAGAGUAAUAGAAAGCUGUCAUAAACUUGUUACUAGACUAGCUGUUAAAUGUAUACCUGCCUCAGAGACAGCGAAAAGGCAUUCAUGAAAUUGUUUUUUCCUCUUUUCUACCCCCAGAAAUUAUAUUACAGUAGUAGUGGGUGGCAUCAAACCAAAAUGUGUGAAAUGUCAAAUACAUGAAUAGUACACAUUUCAUUGUUGUUAAGGAUAACAUGCCACGAUAUAUACCUACUAAACGUUGUGGGAUAUCGGAACCACAUGGGCCCAACCGAAAGCGGGGCUGGCCAAAACCGGCUCUGCUGGCAAGGUGUUGUUGCGGCCCUAUGCUCCUUAAAGGAGCAACAAAGAAUAAACUAACUUUAAGUUUUUUGGAAACUUUUUGUUGCUUAACAGCAAUGUUAAAUGUCGUGAAAGAUCAAUAGGUAUUAGGUAUUCUAAUGAAAUAUUCAUGAUUUUUAUAUUAACAGGAUACUAAUUUAUGUGGUAUUAAAAUCAUAAUUUUGCGACCAUAUGUAACUCAUAAAAUAUAUUUUGUUGACCUUUUAACCCAUCAGAUUGUGCCAACAUGUAGAAAUUUUGUAUUAUACAUGUUUUGUAAUCUGUAAAAUGAGAAAAUUACAGCAGGGAGCAGUUUUAUCUCUUAUAUAUUGGGUCAGAGAUAAGUGUUUAAGCAUGUCAUGCACAGUACUAAUAACUCAAUAGCCAUUCCAAGGUUUAUUGAUGGUUUUAUAAUUAGAUGGCUGCAUCCACUGGAAAAUUUAAGAAACAGUCAUGUCUGCUGGGAUAUGCUUUCAUAUGGGUUUAGAAAAUGUGCAGGGAUUUUUGGAGACUACAGCCUGCUGAUGACUACCAGUAACAAUUAAAAUGCUUUAGCAGCUUAAUGGCAAUGUAUGGGAGUGCUAAAUCUGAAAUUUGUGUUAAUUUCACUGUAUAAAUUUAUGUAUAUAAAAGGCAGCAUUAUUGCCUAUGUACAGCCAAGAUUCAUUACCAGAACAUCACCCAAGUCUGCUGAUCAAUCAACAGAAAGUGUCUUUAUUAGUUACAACUCAUAAAUUUAGGUGAUUUCAACACCCUGUAGCACACACUUGUAAGUUUUAAUCAGUUUACAGCAGGUAGGCAUGUAUUCAUAUGGCAUGCUAGCCAAUUCAGUUUAGGCACAUCAGCUACAAGGUUUUUAAAGUUUUAACUUUAUGAUUAAAGAUAGAUGUUUGUUCUCAUAGCAGUUUAAGUUGCCCCCACCCCCAUAACUUCGCCAUUUACAUAAACCAAAUUUUUUGUGAAACCAACAAAAAACUCCCAAAACUAUAACCUGAAAAUUAUCUGCUAAAUAAACGAAGACCACACAAAACUAAUACAAAUAAAAAGUUUAUUAGAAACUGAAACAUGCAAUCAACAGCAGCUUACAAUAAUCUUACACUUGCUUUUGCCAAGAGUUACAAACCUUUCAGAGGGCAACAAAUAUCUAGCUUUCUGAUGAGAAAUUAUUUCAUGAAUAAAUGUCAAAGCUUCAAGGUAUUCACAAAGCUCAAUUUAUGUACAUGUAAAUACUUUUGCUUAAAUCAAUAGCUGGUCAGUAAACACUAACAUGAAAAAAAAAAAAAA
Long non-coding RNA from Pomacea canaliculata, 6022 nucleotides. RefSeq lists it as uncharacterized. The record is from RefSeq and is a predicted model, not a curated record. Lineage: Eukaryota; Metazoa; Mollusca; Gastropoda; Architaenioglossa; Ampullariidae. The transcript is spliced from 2 exons.